CUCCGCCUGACAGCAGCUCUGCAUGGGGAGGCUCUGUGCCGCUUGUACUUAAAGGAAAACUGGAUGAAACCUGACACCGAGGGUGUGCAGUUUCCUUAGCAGGGAUUGCACGUUGCUGUUUCGGAAAUGGUGACUAAGAAGAGUUUUGCCGUCGGUCUCCCAGAGCCCGCAGCAGGCUACGGAGACCUUCCUCAAUCGUAAAAAGCAAACACCGAAAGCCACCACCCAGCAAACACGAGCAGCGACAGCUUCGUCUCAUUCCCACCACCAUCAAACCUUCCUGCCAGGAGCCACACGUAGAUUCUUUCAUCCCCUAAAGGGAGCGAUUUGGAAAACUACUGAUAUGAAUGUUGGAUAACAGGGUUAAAGUGAAACUAUUUUGCAAGCCGCUGCCUGGAGCCCCCUCGUCAUCACCGGCUGCACACGCACGGAUUCCGCCGGCCCGGGAUCCGGUGACUCUGGCCGUGAGACCAGCUCUGAGUUUAGUGGUGCACAGGAGAUGCUUUGAACGAAUCUAAACACUGUUUGAUGCUUGACCUUGCGGAUGUCUUCUGCAGCGAGGAGUUCCACGGCUCCUU
Long non-coding RNA from Myiozetetes cayanensis, 578 nucleotides. RefSeq lists it as uncharacterized. The transcript has 3 exons. The record is from RefSeq and is a predicted model, not a curated record. Lineage: Eukaryota; Metazoa; Chordata; Aves; Passeriformes; Tyrannidae.